RNAcentral lists this ribosomal RNA (465 nucleotides) under uncultured bacterium. RNAcentral describes it as "partial 16S ribosomal RNA". It matches the Rfam family "Bacterial small subunit ribosomal RNA", at positions 338 to 795 of the family's 1533-position model. The record is from RNAcentral.
CCUACGGGAGGCAGCAGUAGGGAAUCUUCCACAAUGGGCGAAAGCCUGAUGGAGCAACGCCGCGUGGGUGAAGAAGGUCUUCGGAUCGUAAAACCCUGUUGUUAGAGAAGAAAAUGCGUGAGAGUAACUGUUCACGUUUCGACGGUAUCUAACCAGAAAGCGACGGCUAACUACGUGCCAGCAGCCGCGGUAAUACGUAGGUGGCAAGCGUUAUCCGGAAUUAUUGGGCGUAAAGGGAACGCGGGCGGUCUUUUAAGUCUGAUGUGAAAGCCUUCGGCUUAACCGGAGUAGUGCAUUGGAAACUGGGAGACUAGAGUGAAGAAGAGGAGAGUGGAAGUCCAUGUGUAGCGGUGAAAUGCGUAGAUAUAUGGAAGAACACCAGUGGCGAAGGCGGCUCUCUGGUCUGUAACUGACGCUGAGGUUCGAAAGCGUGGGUAGCAAACAGGAUUAGAUACCCUUGUAGUC